Callithrix jacchus (white-tufted-ear marmoset) is the source of this 1423-nucleotide non-coding RNA. NCBI's taxonomy places the organism in Eukaryota, Metazoa, Chordata, Mammalia, Primates, Cebidae. The record is from RefSeq and is a predicted model, not a curated record.
UCUGCCGCUCUGUUACGGGGUCAGGGGAAGCUGAGACGGGCAAUCACUGGAGAGGCGCCUGCUGAAACCCGCCCAUUCUUCCCAUGCCCAGAGGAAACGCCGCCCCCUCCGGGAAGUCCACGAGCGUACAGGAGAGGGACCUGCAAGCAGUACAAGGACCGGAACAUGCUGUGAGCUGACCAGCCACUGGGCUGGCUGUUUAGUUGGCAAAUGACCUAAUCAAUGGUUGACUAAAUGAAUGGAUGAAUGAAUCGCAGAUCCACAAAUCCACCGAGCUGUUCAAUCCUGAAUGGAAAGCUCCAGUCUAAUCAGGAAAAAACAUCCGACAAACUGAAACUGAGGAGCACCCACAAAACGCCUCAUCGGUGCUUUUCAAAAGGGUCCAGGUCAUGAAAGCCAAGGAAGAGCUGAGACACCAUCUCACAUCGGAGGAGGCCCGCUGACUGAAUGCACCCCAGUGGUCCUGGGUGGAAAUAGUAAAAGUGCAUUAGUGGAAAGCUGGUGAAAUCCAAAGAAAGUCUGCAGUUGGUGACAGUUUUGACUCAGUGUUAAUUUCAUAGUUUUGACAAAUGUACCAUGGCUAUGGAAGACAUUAACAUUAGGGGGACCUGGGUGGAGGGUACAUGGGACUGUGUACUAUUUUUACAACUUUUCUUUCUUUGAGACGGAGUUUCACUCUUGUUGCCCCGGUUGUGUGCAAUGGUGUGAUCUUGGCUCACCGAAACCUCUGCCUCCCUGGUUCAAGUGAUUCUUCUGCCUCAGCCUCCUGAGUAGCUGGGAUUACAGGUGUAUGCCAUCAACCCAGCUAAUUUUAUAUUUUUACUAGAGAUAAGGUUUCACCAUAUUGGUCAGGCUGGUCUCGAACUCCUAACCUCAGGUGAGCCGCCCGCCUGGGCCUCCCCAUGUGCUGGGAUUACAGGCGUGAGCCACUGUGCCCACCUGUUUGUUUUUUGAGGAGUCUCACUGUGUCUCUCAGGCUGGAGCCACAUGCAUGGUCCCCCGCCAUCUCCAGGCCUGCCCCUCAGCCCCACCUGGCAUGUAUGUAUUGCUCCUUUAUCCUCUCUCUCCCACGCCUCCACAUCUCUCUCUCUUUCUCUCUCUCUCUCUCUCUCACACACACACACACACACACACACACACACAGAAAACUUCCAUGAGAUUGCAGUGGCACAAUCUCAGUUGACUGCAACCUCCGCCUCCUGGGUUCAAGUGAUUCUCCUGCCUCAGUCUCCCAAGUAGCUGGGAUUACAGGUACUCACCACCAAGCCCAGCUAAUUUUUUGUAUUUUUAGUAGAGACAGGAUUUCACUAUGUUGACCAGGCUGGUCUCAAACUCCUGACCUCAUGUGAUCCACCCACCUCAGCCUCCCAAAGUGCUGGGAUUACGGGUGUGAGCCAACGUGCCCAGCCUAUUUUUGCAAGCU